Molecule: non-coding RNA, 199 nt
Organism: Jatropha curcas
Lineage: Eukaryota; Viridiplantae; Streptophyta; Magnoliopsida; Malpighiales; Euphorbiaceae
Source: RefSeq, a predicted model, not a curated record
GCCACCGUGGGCACGGUGGCGGUGGCGGCGUCCGGCGACGCGGCCGGCGAGACUUCAAGGGACGAAUGCUCUCCUCUUCGUGCGGAACACGGAAAUGAAAUUGAUUUUAAAUCGGCUUAUAAAAUACAAAAUGCGAGGACAAAAGCUGGAAGCAUGUGGCUAAAAAAGGCAGUCCUUUUAAAGGACAAUAAAGAACUGU